CCCUUAGAUGUUCUGGGCCGCACGCGCGCUACACUGACAGAGCCAACGAGUUCUUCACCUUGGCCGGAAGGUCUGGGUAAUCUUGUUAAGCUCUGUCGUGCUGGGGAUAGAGCAUUGCAAUUAUUGCUCUUCAACGAGGAAUGCCUAGUAAGCGCGUGUCAUCAGCACGCGUUGAUUACGUCCCUGCCCUUUGUACACACCGCCCGUCGCUACUACCGAUUGAAUGGCUCAGUGAGGCCUUCGGACUGGCUCAGGGAGGUUGGCAACGACCACCCCGAGCCGGAAAGUUCGUCAAACUCGGUCAUUUAGAGGAAGUAAAAGUCGUAACA
Molecule: ribosomal RNA, 329 nt
Filed under: uncultured eukaryote
Lineage: Eukaryota
Description: partial 18S ribosomal RNA
Rfam family: Eukaryotic small subunit ribosomal RNA
Source: RNAcentral